Molecule: ribosomal RNA, 256 nt
Filed under: uncultured prokaryote
Description: partial 16S ribosomal RNA
Rfam family: Bacterial small subunit ribosomal RNA
Source: RNAcentral
UAAUACGUAGGGCGCGAGCGUUGUCCGGAAUUAUUGGGCGUAAAGAGCUCGUAGGCGGCUGGUCGCGUCUGUCGUGAAAUCCUCUGGCUUAACUGGGGGCUUGCGGUGGGUACGGGCCGGCUUGAGUGCGGUAGGGGAGACUGGAACUCCUGGUGUAGCGGUGGAAUGCGCAGAUAUCAGGAAGAACACCGGUGGCGAAGGCGGGUCUCUGGGCCGUUACUGACGCUGAGGAGCGAAAGCGUGGGGAGCGAACAGG